Molecule: long non-coding RNA, 222 nt
Filed under: Manihot esculenta (cassava)
Lineage: Eukaryota; Viridiplantae; Streptophyta; Magnoliopsida; Malpighiales; Euphorbiaceae
Description: long non-coding RNA (MESC_LNC005247)
Source: RNAcentral
UUGUUACUUGUGGGGAGGUUUAAUUUCCACGUGCCUAAUCAAUAAAUAUCUGGAAAAACAAAGUGCUAUGCCGGCCGUUGGAUGGGAACACAGGUUAUGAAGAUCAGCUCAGUAGGUUGGCCCCACCAUUUGAUUUGUUUGCCAACUUAUUAACACAAAAAAUCAAAUUAUAAAAUUACAAAAUCAACAUACAGAAAGUGAUAAUGAUUUUUUUAUCAAGCC